This 450-nucleotide ribosomal RNA is filed under the name uncultured bacterium. Its description in RNAcentral is "partial 16S ribosomal RNA". It matches the Rfam family "Bacterial small subunit ribosomal RNA", at positions 354 to 796 of the family's 1533-position model. The record is from RNAcentral.
GUGGGGAAUUUUGGACAAUGGGCGAAAGCCUGAUCCAGCCAUGCCGCGUGCAGGAUGAAGGCCUUCGGGUUGUAAACUGCUUUUGUACGGAACGAAAAGACUCCUUCUAAUAAAGGGGGUCCAUGACGGUACCGUAAGAAUAAGCACCGGCUAACUCUGUGCCAGCAGCCGCGGUAAUACAGAGGGUGCAAGCGUUAAUCGGAAUUACGGGGCGUAAAGCGUGCGCAGGCGGCUCUGCAAGACAGAUGUGAAAGCCCCGGGCUCAACCUGGGAACUGCAUUUGUGACUGGAAGACUAGAGGGCGUCAGAGGGAGGUGGAAUUCCGGGUGUAGCAGUGAAAUGCGUAGAGAUGCGGAGGAACACCGAUGGCGAAGGCAGCCUCCUGGGAUGACACUGACGCUCAUGCACGAAAGCGUGGGGAGCAAACAGGAUUAGAAACCCCGGUAGUCC